Molecule: ribosomal RNA, 402 nt
Filed under: Triticum aestivum (bread wheat)
Lineage: Eukaryota; Viridiplantae; Streptophyta; Magnoliopsida; Poales; Poaceae
Description: partial small subunit ribosomal RNA
Source: RNAcentral
AUGGCAACUUCUGAUGAGAAUGUUCCGAGGACCCUAUUUUACGCCGAGUUGUGGUGCGUAACACGCAAGCCAAGGACAGCAGCAUUCUGCUGCCCUCUGCCCUAUGCAUAUGCGGGACGUUGCUACUACGACAUGAUUUGCGCAAGGAAGAUUGUGUAUCCAGAUGACGCCAAGUACAUUGACGAUGAUAUCACCCAUAAGGGAACCCGCAGCGUGGAUUUCAUGCUAGAGAUGGACCUCGUGCACUUCAGUUCCGAGUUGGACGUGGAGCUCGCGCGGAAUUUGAACAUGCCGGAUUCACAGGAUGAGCCGAAUGAGCCCAGUUCAGAUUCUUCAUGGGCGCCGGAUGAGAGCAGUCCAGAUUCAGAUUCAGAGGAUGAGUCUGUGCCUCUGGAUGAGUGA